GAUGAACGCUGGCGGCGUGCCUAAUACAUGCAAGUCGAGCGAACAGACGAGGAGCUUGCUCCUCUGACGUUAGCGGCGGACGGGUGAGUAACACGUGGAUAACCUACCUAUAAGACUGGGAUAACUUCGGGAAACCGGAGCUAAUACCGGAUAAUAUAUUGAACCGCAUGGUUCAAUAGUGAAAGACGGUUUUGCUGUCACUUAUAGAUGGAUCCGCGCCGCAUUAGCUAGUUGGUAAGGUAACGGCUUACCAAGGCAACGAUGCGUAGCCGACCUGAGAGGGUGAUCGGCCACACUGGAACUGAGACACGGUCCAGACUCCUACGGGAGGCAGCAGUAGGGAAUCUUCCGCAAUAGGCGAAAGCCUGCCGGAGCAACGCCGCGUGAGUGAUGAAGGUCUUCGGAUCGUAAAACUCUGUUAUUAGGGAAGAACAAAUGUGUAAGUAACUAUGCACGUCUUGACGGUACCUAAUCAGAAAGCCACGGCUAACUACGUG
RNAcentral lists this ribosomal RNA (497 nucleotides) under uncultured bacterium. RNAcentral describes it as "partial 16S ribosomal RNA". It matches the Rfam family "Bacterial small subunit ribosomal RNA", at positions 28 to 507 of the family's 1533-position model. The record is from RNAcentral.